AGGGUUUUUAGCAACUACCA
This 20-nucleotide small nuclear RNA is filed under the name Arabidopsis thaliana (thale cress). RNAcentral describes it as "snRNA_15105". The record is from RNAcentral. Lineage: Eukaryota; Viridiplantae; Streptophyta; Magnoliopsida; Brassicales; Brassicaceae.